CGCACGAGCGCACCCUCGUCCUAUGUUGCCANCNCGUUAAUGAGUGGGGACUCGUAGGAGACCGCCGGGGUCAACUCGGANGAAGGUGGGGACGACGUCAAGUCAUCAUGCCCCUUAUAUCCUGGGCUGCAAACAUGCUACAAUGGCCGGCACAACGGGCAGNGACACCGCGAGGUGAAGCGAAUCCCUUAAAACCGGUCUCANUUCGGAUUGGAGUCUGCAACUCGACUCCAUGAAGUCGGAGUCGCUAGUAAUCCCGGAUCANCAACNCCGGGGUGAAUACGUUCCCGGGCCUUGNACACACCGCCCGU
RNAcentral lists this ribosomal RNA (311 nucleotides) under uncultured bacterium. Its description in RNAcentral is "partial 16S ribosomal RNA". It matches the Rfam family "Bacterial small subunit ribosomal RNA", at positions 1088 to 1397 of the family's 1533-position model. The record is from RNAcentral.